This 253-nucleotide ribosomal RNA is filed under the name uncultured bacterium. Its description in RNAcentral is "partial 16S ribosomal RNA". It matches the Rfam family "Bacterial small subunit ribosomal RNA", at positions 524 to 776 of the family's 1533-position model. The record is from RNAcentral.
CACGUAGGUGGCGAGCGUUGUCCGGAAUUACUGGGCGUAAAGGGCGAGUAGGCGGCCUUUAAAGUCAGAUGUGAAAGUCUAGGGCUUAACCCUAGGAUUGCAUUUGAAACUUAAGGGCUUGAGUGUAGGAGAGGGAAGCGGAAUUCCUAAUGUAGCGGUGAAAUGCGUAGAUAUUAGGAGGAACACCAGUGGCGAAGGCGACUUUCUGGUCUGUUACUGACGCUGAGGCGCGAAAGCGUGGGGAGCAAACAGG